This 1407-nucleotide ribosomal RNA is filed under the name Bittacomorphella fenderiana. Its description in RNAcentral is "16S ribosomal RNA". The stretch from base 1 to 72 matches the Rfam family "tRNA". The record is from RNAcentral. Lineage: Eukaryota; Metazoa; Arthropoda; Insecta; Diptera; Ptychopteridae.
CUUUUUAAAGCUUAAUUAGUAAAGUGUUUCAUUUACAUUGAAAGGAAAUUUGUGCAAUUCAAUUUAAAAAGAUAAAAUUUAUUUAUUAAUAUUUUUAUUAAUUAUUUUUGUUUAAUAAAAAUAAUUUUUUUUUAAAAGUUUUUGUAGAGUAUAUUGAAAAAAUAAUUUUUAUUAUAGUUUAAUUGUAUUGUAAAAGAUUAUUGAAAUAAUUUGAAAAAUUUUUAUUUUAAAAGAAAAUUUAAUUAAUUGUACCUUGUGUAUCAGGGUUUAUUAAAUAAAAAUUUAUUAUAGUAAAUUUUCUCGAUUUUAAGAGAGUUAAUAAAUUAUUAUAGUUAAUGUGGAAUAAUUAUUAUAAAUGAUUUAUUAGAAAUGAAACGUUAUUCGUUCUUAAAUAUAUCUAGUUUUUUAAGAAAUAAAUUUAAUUUAUAUAUAAAUUAUUAAUAAUUUAUUUUGUUAAUUUAUUAAUGUGAUUUAUAUAAAUAUUUUAGGGGAUAAGCUUUAAAAUAAAUUAUUAUAUAAAAUUUAAAAUUUUAUAAAAUAUAGGCUUGAAAUUAGCCAUUAUUUAAGAUAAUGUUAUAAUUUAUUUAAUUUGUAUUUUAUUUUUUUUAUUAUUAAGUUUUUAUUAAAAUUUUUGUAAUAAUUUUAAUUAUAAAUAAAUAAUGAUAAAAUUAGUAUAUAAAUAUGUAAAAAUUAAAUUUAAUUGAAAGGUUUAUUUAAGGAAUUCGGCAAAAAUUAAUAUUCGCCUGUUUAACAAAAACAUGUCUUUUUGUAUUUAAUAAAAAGUUUGACCUGCCCACUGAAUUUAAAUUAAAUGGCCGCGGUAUUUUGACCGUGCAAAGGUAGCAUAAUCAUUAGUUUUUUAAUUGAAAGCUUGUAUGAAUGGUUGGACGAAAUAUUAACUGUCUUAAAUGAAAUUUUAUAGAAUUUUACUUUUUAGUUAAAAGGCUAAAAUUUAAUUGGAGGACGAGAAGACCCUAUAAAUCUUUAUAAUAAUUUUAUAUUAUUUAUUUAGAAAUUUUAGAAUUUUAUAAAAAAUUAUUAUUUUGUUGGGGUGACAAUAAGAUUUAAAAAACUUUUAUAUUUUUGUUCAUUGAUAUAUGAAAAUUUGAUCCAUUUUUAAUGAUUAUAAAUUUAAGUUACUUUAGGGAUAACAGCGUAAUUUUUUUUGAGAGUUCUUAUCGACAGAAAAGAUUGCGACCUCGAUGUUGGAUUAAGAAUUAUUUUUAGGUGCAGUAGUUUAAAGUUUAGGUCUGUUCGACCUUUAGAUUCUUACAUGAUCUGAGUUCAAACCGGUGUAAGCCAGGUUGGUUUCUAUCCUCAAUUAAUUAAAAUAUUUUAGUACGAAAGGACCGGAUAUUUAAAAAAUAAUUUUUUUUAAAAAAAUUAGAAUAUUAUUAAAAUUGAUAA